CCUUCUCUCUCUUAACUACUCUCGGCUUCUCCUCCUCACGGCUCUGUUUCUCUCGAUUCUUCCUCCUCUUCUCUCUGCUCUCUCACGCACGCCCCAGAGACGAAAGGCGCCGGCGAUGGUGGGCUGCCGCAGGGCGCGCGCCGGGGAGGAGACCGGGGAGCUGGCGGCUUAGGCCGGGCGGCGCGGCAGGAGGCAGCACCCCUGCCGGGCCAGCGCAUCCAAGCGCGCAGCUGGGGUGACGGCGCGGCACGGCGGCCAGGCGGGUGCGCGGCCGGGAGGCGAUGCAGAGAGGUGGCGUUGGCGGAGGAGGGAGAUGAGGGAGCUGCACCAGGUAGGAGGUGGUCGGGCGCCGGUGGCGAAGGGAGGAAACCGGCGGCGACGGCGGCCGAUGCGACGGCGACGCCGAUGGGCGUGAGGAGGCCGCGGCUGGGGGCGCUCGUCCCGGUGCAGGGACGCGGCCACGCAAAAGGGCCGGAGGUGGCGCCUGUGCGGGCCGAUCUGGUCGCGCGCGGGCGGCGUUCCACCCGGAGCGGCGGCGACCCGGAUCAAGGCGAUGAGGGUGGCGGAGGUCGCAGUGGUUCCUCGGCUGGGCGGAGACAGAGGCGGCCGUGUAAGCUGCUCGCGCGGCCGGUGUGGCCGUGGAGGCAGCACUCGCUCGGGGUCGGCCUGGCCGUGCGCGGCGGCAGCGGAGACGGUGCGGGGAGGUGAAGGCGACGAGCGGCUUGGAAGGAUGAAGCAGAGGUGGCCGUGACAAAGUUGACGGCGCGCAGGGUCCGGGCCGCACGGCUUGGAGCGCACUCAAGGUGCUCGUCCGUGCGCCUCGGGCCGGCGCGAGCAGGAUGAUGGUGGCGGGGAUCGAAGGGCGAGGAUGGAGGAGGAAUGGUUGGGCAUGGCAACUCUGGUAGCCAUAGUUUUUGCUUGAUUGUGGAUGGCUUCGAGGAUAAGGAAUAGAGCGAGGCUUCGAGGAUAAGGAACGGCACAGUGGCGAUGCGGCGGCGUGGACGCAGCUCACGCGGGCGGCGUGGACGCUCGUCUGUGAGCAGUGAAGAACAGGGACGAGCGGUGUGGACUGGGAGUAGCGGCGCACGCACAGGCGACGGCCUGGGUGGCGGCGAAGUGACCAUCGGUCACUAGGCUGCCCCGGAGCACGUGUCGGCGGCGGAUGGGAUGGACGGCGAUGAGGUGGGCCAGGAUGUCGACAUCGCCACAGGGGGGGAGGCUUACAAGGGAUUUGGUGGACUGGGUGCUUGCAGGAAUGGAGGAACGAGCGACCUUGCUCGGUGUACAGAUAUGGUGGCGCCAAGGAUGGACGCGGUGCGCGGCGUGCAUCGCUGCGGCGCACGGAGGCGCGACUCGGUGCACGGCGCGGCUGGCACGGUGCAACGGCGUGGUUGCCGACUGAUGCAAGGCGGCGCGGCUCAGCACAGUGCUCACCCGGCUCAACAUUUUGUCGAACACGUGGUGGGCAUGUGAACCUGGCUGGGAGGAGGAAGGAGGAAGGGCAGCUGGGCCAGCUGAGGUAAGGAAGGGGGUGGAAACAGACUUGGGCUGGAAUGAGGGAAAGGGAGGCAGGAUGGACUUAGGCUGUGAUGAGCUGUUGGGUUGGCAGAGCGAGAGAGAGGUGGCACAAGUGUAAAAGGAUACUUUGUAUAACUGUAGCAAGGAAUUUGUACAUCCCCAUUGUAAUUGGAAUUUUGUAGAUGGACCCCAAACAUGUAAUGGGAGUGUAUAACUGUAAUUGGACUGUAUAAUUGGACAUUCGGCUUUGAGCUGGGAUUGAAAUAUGGAAUUGGGGUUUGGAACUAAA
Non-coding RNA from Oryza sativa Japonica Group (Japanese rice), 1807 nucleotides. NCBI's taxonomy places the organism in Eukaryota, Viridiplantae, Streptophyta, Magnoliopsida, Poales, Poaceae. The record is from RefSeq and is a predicted model, not a curated record.